GAGUUUGAUCCUGGCUCAGGAUGAACGCUGGCGGCGUGCCUAAUACAUGCAAGUCGAGCGAACCCUUCGGGGUUAGCGGCGGACGGGUGAGUAACACGUGGGUAACCUGCCUAUAAGACUGGGAUAACUUCGGGAAACCGUAGCUAAUACCGGAUAUAUUUUUGGUUCACAUGAACUAAAAUGGAAAGGCGGCUUUUGCUGUCACUUAUAGAUGGACCCGCGGCGCAUUAGCUAGUUGGUGAGGUAACGGCUCACCAAGGCGACGAUGCGUAGCCGACCUGAGAGGGUGAUCGGCCACACUGGGACUGAGACACGGCCCAGACUCCUACGGGAGGCAGCAGUAGGGAAUCUUCGGCAAUGGGCGAAAGCCUGACCGAGCAACGCCGCGUGAGCGAUGAAGGCCUUCGGGUCGUAAAGCUCUGUUGUUAGGGAAGAACAAGUACCAGUUGAAUAAGCUGGUACCUUGACGGUACCUAACGAGAAAGCCACGGCUAACUACGUGCCAGCAGCCGCGGUAAUACGUAGGUGGCGAGCGUUAUCCGGAAUUAUUGGGCGUAAAGCGCGCGCAGGCGGUCUCUUAAGUCUGAUGUGAAAUCUCGCGGCUC
RNAcentral lists this ribosomal RNA (605 nucleotides) under uncultured bacterium. RNAcentral describes it as "bacterial SSU rRNA". It matches the Rfam family "Bacterial small subunit ribosomal RNA", at positions 9 to 610 of the family's 1533-position model. The record is from RNAcentral.